UCUAAUAUGGCAGAUUAGUGCCAUGGAUUUAAGCCCCAUUUAUAAAGGAAUUUCUUUUUGUUAGAA
This 66-nucleotide transfer RNA is filed under the name Omalium rivulare. RNAcentral describes it as "tRNA-Leu". Lineage: Eukaryota; Metazoa; Arthropoda; Insecta; Coleoptera; Staphylinidae. The record is from RNAcentral.